Molecule: ribosomal RNA, 434 nt
Filed under: uncultured bacterium
Lineage: Bacteria
Description: partial 16S ribosomal RNA
Rfam family: Bacterial small subunit ribosomal RNA
Source: RNAcentral
AGCGAACGCUGGCGGCAGGCCUAACACAUGCAAGUCGAACGAACCUUUCGGGGUUAGUGGCGGACGGGUGAGUAACACGUGGGAACGUGCCUUUAGGUUCGGAAUAACUCAGGGAAACUUGUGCUAAUACCGAAUGUGCCCUUCGGGGGAAAGAUUAAUCGCCUUUAGAGCGGCCCGCGUCUGAUUAGCUAGUUGGUUGAGGUAAUGGCUCACCAAGGCGACGAUCAGAAGCUGGUCUGAGAGGAUGGUCAGCCACAUUGGGACUGAGACACGGCCCGAACUCAUACGGAGGGAGGCAGUGGAGAGUGGUGAAAAAGGGUGUAAGGCUUGAAGAAGCCGUGCCGCGGGGAGGAGGAGGGGGUUGGGAGGGGAAAACUCUGUGGCCAGGGACGAGAAUGACGGUACGCUAAAAAAAAGCACCGGCUAACGUCGUU